AUGGGCGCGGCUACCAUGCAGUCGAGCGGCAGCGGGGAGUACUUUGCUACUUUUGCCGGCGAGCGGCGGACGGGUGAGUAGUGCCUGGGGAUCUGCCCAGUCGAGGGGGAUAACAGUUGGAAACGACUGCUAAUACCGCAUACGCCCUACGGGGGAAAGGAGGGGACCUUCGGCUCUUUCCCGAUUGUGUGAACCCAGGUGGGAUUAGCUAGUUGGUGGGGUAAUGGCUCACCAGGGCGACUAUCCCUAGCUGGUCAGAGAGGAUGAUCACCCACUCUGGAACUGACACACGGUCCACACUCCUACGGGAGGCAGCAGUGGGAAAUAUUGCACAGUGGGGGAAACCCUGAUGCACCCGUGCCGCGUGUGUGAAGAAGGCCUUCGGUUUGUAAAGCUCUUUCAGCGAGGAAGAAAGGUUGGCGCCUAAUACGUGUCAACUGUGACUUUACUCACAAAAAAAGCACCGGCUAACUCCGUGCCAGCACCCGCGGUAAUACGGAGGGUGCAAGCGUUAAUCAGAUUUACUGGGCAUAACGCGCACGCGCGCGGUUGGAUAAGUUAUAUGUGAACCCCCCGGGCUCAACCUGGGAAUUGCAUUUAAAACUGUCCAGAUAGACUCUUGUAGAGGGGGAUAUAAUUCCGUGUGUAGCGGAGAAGUGCAUAGAUAUCUGGAAAAAUACCUGUGGCGAAGGCCCCCCCCUGGACAAAGACUGACUCUCAUGUGAGAAAGCGUGGAGAGCACACGAGAAUAUAUACCGUGGUACUCCACGCCAUAAACUAUGUCUAUUUGGAGUGUGUUUCUUGAAACGUGUCUUCCAGAUCUCACGCGAUAAAUCGACCGCCUGGAGAGUACGGCCGCAGGGUUAACACACAAAUGAUUUGACGGGCGCCCCACACACGCGGUGGAGCGUGUUGUUUUAUUUCUAUGCACGCAAACAC
Molecule: ribosomal RNA, 939 nt
Filed under: uncultured Exiguobacterium sp.
Lineage: Bacteria; Bacillati; Bacillota; Bacilli; Caryophanales
Description: bacterial SSU rRNA
Rfam family: Bacterial small subunit ribosomal RNA
Source: RNAcentral